GACGAACGCUGGCGGCGUGCUUAACACAUGCAAGUCGAGCGGUAAGGCCCUUUCGGGGGUACGACGAGCGGCGAACGGGUGAGUAACACGUGGGUGACCUGCCCUCAGCUCUGGGAUAAGCCUGGGAAACCGGGUCUAAUACUGGAUAUGACUCCAUGACGCAUGUUGUGGGGUGGAAAGCCUUGUGCGGCUGAGGAUGGGCCCGCGGCCUAUCAGCUUGUUGGUGGGGUGANGGCCUACCAAGGCGACGACGGGUAGCCGGCCUGAGAGGGCGACCGGCCACACUGGGACUGAGACACGGCCCAGACUCCUACGGGAGGCAGCAGUGAGGAAUAUUGGUCAAUGGCCGAAAGGCUGAACCAGCAACGCCGCGUGAGGGAUGACGGCCUGUGU
This 393-nucleotide ribosomal RNA is filed under the name uncultured bacterium. RNAcentral describes it as "bacterial SSU rRNA". It matches the Rfam family "Bacterial small subunit ribosomal RNA", at positions 28 to 421 of the family's 1533-position model. The record is from RNAcentral.